CAGUCGCCGCGGGAAUACGGAGGGUGCAAGCGUUAAUCGGAAUUACUGGGCGUAAAGCGUGCGUAGGCGGUUCGUUAAGUCUGUUGUGAAAGCCCCGGGCUCAACCUGGGAAUGGCAAUGGAUACUGGCGAGCUAGAGUGUGUCAGAGGAUGGUGGAAUUCCCGGUGUAGCGGUGAAAUGCGUAGAGAUCGGGAGGAACAUCAGUGGCGAAGGCGGCCAUCUGGGACAACACUGACGCUGAGGCACGAAAGCGUGGGGAGCAAGCAGGAUUAGAUACCCCUGUAGUCCCUGUCUCUUAUAC
RNAcentral lists this ribosomal RNA (301 nucleotides) under uncultured bacterium. Its description in RNAcentral is "partial 16S ribosomal RNA". It matches the Rfam family "Bacterial small subunit ribosomal RNA", at positions 509 to 807 of the family's 1533-position model. The record is from RNAcentral.